This is a long non-coding RNA of Orbicella faveolata, 398 nucleotides long. RefSeq lists it as uncharacterized. NCBI's taxonomy places the organism in Eukaryota, Metazoa, Cnidaria, Anthozoa, Scleractinia, Merulinidae. The record is from RefSeq and is a predicted model, not a curated record.
GAAUUUCUUCACCGAAACUGGAAAAAGUAUGUCGAAGGUUGGGAAAAAGCGACAAGAGCCCGCGGCAUGAGCCAUCGUGAAUGAUCGGUCCACAAAACUGUCACAGCCCCUGAACCUGUGAUUUCCUCACAUUUAAAAGGUUGACCGGACAUUUGUGUGCAUCCGGUCCAAGACGGCGACGUCUAUAUCGCAAGGCCACAGUGGACGAAUAAGAACUAUCUUCAUCUGAUGGAGAGAGUUAACUCGCUUCACCUUAUAUCGAGGUGCCUCUUGAUCCUCUUCCCCAACAGGGGGCGUAAAGUUGUUUGCGUCGUUUCUUUGUUUGACAAUUCAUAUCUACCGCCGGAUGUUGUAAUUGUAAGGGAAUUGUGUGAAAUAAAUUAACUAGAAGAACUUGA